Molecule: ribosomal RNA, 253 nt
Filed under: uncultured bacterium
Lineage: Bacteria
Description: partial 16S ribosomal RNA
Rfam family: Bacterial small subunit ribosomal RNA
Source: RNAcentral
UACGAAGGGGGCUAGCGUUGCUCGGAAUUACUGGGCGUAAAGCGCACGUAGGCGGAUUGUUAAGUCGGGGGUGAAAUCCUGGAGCUCAACUCCAGAACUGCCUUCGAUACUGGCGAUCUAGAGUCCGGGAGAGGUGAGUGGAACUGCGAGUGUAGAGGUGAAAUUCGUAGAUAUUCGCAAGAACACCAGUGGCGAAGGCGGGUCUCUGGACAGUUCCUGACGCUGAGGCACGAAGGUCAGGGGAGCAAACGGG